This 441-nucleotide ribosomal RNA is filed under the name uncultured bacterium. RNAcentral describes it as "partial 16S ribosomal RNA". It matches the Rfam family "Bacterial small subunit ribosomal RNA", at positions 338 to 795 of the family's 1533-position model. The record is from RNAcentral.
CCUACGGGAGGCAGCAGUGGGGAAUAUUGCACAAUGGGGGAAACCCUGAUGCAGCGACGCCGCGUGAGUGAAGAAGUAUUUCGGUGUGUAAAGCUCUAUCAGCAGGGACGAGACAAGACGGUACCUGACUAAGAAGCCCCGGCUAACUACGUGCCAGCAGCCGCGGUAAUACGUAGGGGGCAAGCGUUAUCCGGAAUCACUGGGUGUAAAGGGAGCGUAGACGGCUGAGCAAGCCUGAAGUGAAAGGCGGGGGCCCAACCCCUGGACUGCUUUGGGAACUGUACGGCUGGAGUGCAGGAGAGGUAAGUGGAAUUCCUGGUGUAGCGGUGAAAUGCGUAGAUAUUAGGAGGAACACCAGUGGCGAAGGCGGCUUACUGGACUGUAACUGACGUUGAGGCUCGAAAGCGUGGGGAGCAAACAGGAUUAGAUACCCGAGUAGUC